Gymnothorax javanicus (giant moray) is the source of this 74-nucleotide non-coding RNA. The record is from the annotation of a GenBank genome assembly. Lineage: Eukaryota; Metazoa; Chordata; Actinopteri; Anguilliformes; Muraenidae.
GGUGGCAUAGCUCAGGAGGUAGAGCACGCGGCCUAGGAAUCAGAAGGUUCCCGGUUUGAUUCCCGGCUCCUCCA